UGAUAAAACAUUUUUGACUUCACUUUCCUGUUUCAGUACUUCACUUCACCUUCAACUUUCUAUUUCACGUUUCAAUACGCAUGUUUCUGAAGAACUGAAGAACUGAGGUGAAGAGAGGUGAAGAUAGCUGAAGAAAUGGUUUUUUUUUUAAUAGAUACAAGUUGAAGAGUCGAAGAACUGAGCUGAAGAGUUGAAGUCUUCGAAGAAUUGGUAUCUCAACUUGUCUUCUCCAAAUAACGAUUCCUUGAAGAAAGAAAUGAGUACUGUUGGGUUGUCGACAUGAUGAUGAAUUGAAGCUAUUAGUCUCUCCGUCACACUUUUCUCUCAACUGUCUCAUUGAAGAACACGAUUUCAAAGAGAUUUUUCUUGGAUUUUGGGUUUAUCAGAUCAGUUUUCCCAAUUUUUUUUCAAGUACGAGAUUCUGCCCGGAAUUCUCGUCCGUCGUUAGUGUUCAAGUUUCUUGGUGAAGAUCGUUUCCCUGCACUUCCUGUUCCAGUUCAUUGCCUGAAGAAAGAAACUCCAAGAGCAAGCAACUGUCUCUGACUAUCAGCAAACUCUCUGCUCAAUGUCUGUGUCAUUACCGAUGCUGAAUUGAUGGCAUCUCUCAGAGCACUUGCUAAUGGUGAAUGCACAGACUCAAAUUGUUGUUGUGCAGCAACUGUGUGAUUUCUGAUGAACCAUAGAGAUGAUGAACCAAGGUGAAGAGAGGUAAAGACAGCUGAAGAAUCGAUUCCCUUUUGCGAUACAUGCUAAAAGAGUUGAAGUCGUCGAAGAAUGAGAUGAAGAGUUGAAUUCAUCAAAAAAAUGUUGUUUAAGUCGUCUUCUCCAAUAAAGACUUCUUGAAGAAUUCUCACUGUAGAGCACGAUUUCAGACAAAUUUUGUUGGGAUAGGGUUUAUCAGGUACAGGUUGUGUACAGAGCAUGAUCAAGAGGUUAAUAAUCAACCAGGAAGAUAUAAAUGGAGCAAAGCCAAUAAUCAUUGUCAAAACAUCUCUCAAUGGUUUGAAACUCGUGCUUUGCAAGAGGAUGUGCCUGAUUUGAUAAACAAUUGUCUAAAGGACCAAAUUCUGUUGCAAAAAAAUAUUCUGGGUAUCUCAUAAGUGGAUAUAGAUUCCAUGUUAGGCAGCAUGAUGAGGUUUAAAACACAAAAUAGUGGUGUUACACUAAUUGACUCAACUACAAGCUUUGCAAGCUCAAAGGAUAAAAAUCCAAUUGCUGCAGAUUUGACUUAUUAUGGCAGAAUAAUUGAUAUUGUUGAAUUAGACUAUUACGGUCAUUUUAAGGUUUUUCUUUUUAAUUGUGAUUGGUAUGAGGUUGAAAUGGUCUUACUUAUGUUCUCAGGAAGAGCCUUUUGUGCUUGCAUCUCAAGUACACCAAUGCUUCUAUGUGCAAGAUCCAUAUGAUCAAGAAAACAUUAUGUUAUGAAGACUGUUCCGAGAGACUUGUUUAACAUGGGUGAUGAGGUUGAAUCUAAUCUCCCAGAUAGUUUUGCAAGUGAUCCAUCUGAACAUUUGAUGGGACCAUCUAUACCAAAAUAUAAUGGUGAAGUACUCUUAACAAGGACUGAUGUACCAGAAACAAUUAUUGAUGUGCCUUAAGAGGAACUUGUCACUCAACAACUUGAUGUCGAGUAUGAAGAGAAUUUUGAUGAUGAGUCUACCGAUGAGUUUGAGGACGAGUCUUAAAAUGAGUAUGAAGAUGAGUUUGCAGAUGAGUUUGAAGACGAGUCUGAAAAUGAGUAUGCAGAUGAGUCUAAAGAUGAGUAGAAGAGUUUGAAGAUGACGCACCAUGAGUUUUAUUAUUGUUGUGAUGAUCAUAUAGUGCUCACUUAUUGUUUUUGUAAUUUAAUUGUUGUUUUGGUACAAACACAUUAAGAUAUCUAAUAUGUGGAAUUGAAGAUUAGAUCGCUACAAUGUUUAAGUAUUCUGUUGGCUUUUUUCAUGUGCCCAAUUGUUAUUUUGUUAAGUAAUUUAUGUUGGCUUAUUA
Solanum pennellii is the source of this 1986-nucleotide long non-coding RNA. RefSeq lists it as uncharacterized. The record is from RefSeq and is a predicted model, not a curated record. Lineage: Eukaryota; Viridiplantae; Streptophyta; Magnoliopsida; Solanales; Solanaceae. The transcript has 7 exons.